AUACGAAGGGGGCUAGCGUUGUUCGGAAUUACUGGGCGUAAAGCGCGCGUAGGCGGAUUGGUCAGUUAGGGGUGAAAUCCCAGGGCUUAACCCUGGAACUGCCUCUAAUACUGCCAGUCUUGAGUUCGGGAGAGGUGAGUGGAAUUCCUAGUGUAGAGGUGAAAUUCGUAGAUAUUAGGAAGAACACCAGUGGCGAAGGCGGCUCACUGGCCCGAUACUGACGCUGAGGUGCGAAAGCGUGGGGAGCAAACAGGAUUAGAAACCCUUGUAGUCC
RNAcentral lists this ribosomal RNA (274 nucleotides) under uncultured bacterium. RNAcentral's name for it is "partial 16S ribosomal RNA". It matches the Rfam family "Bacterial small subunit ribosomal RNA", at positions 523 to 796 of the family's 1533-position model. The record is from RNAcentral.